RNAcentral lists this ribosomal RNA (379 nucleotides) under Leptolyngbya sp. CCMEE 6132. Its description in RNAcentral is "bacterial SSU rRNA". It matches the Rfam family "Bacterial small subunit ribosomal RNA", at positions 376 to 770 of the family's 1533-position model. Lineage: Bacteria; Bacillati; Cyanobacteriota; Cyanophyceae; Leptolyngbyales; Leptolyngbyaceae. The record is from RNAcentral.
CGAAAGCCUGACGGAGCAAGACCGCGUGCGGGAAGACGGCCUGUGGGUUGUAAACCGCUUUUGACAGGGAAGAAUAUGUGACGGUACCUGUCGAAUCAGCCUCGGCUAACUCCGUGCCAGCAGCCGCGGUAAUACGGAGGAGGCAAGCGUUAUCCGGAAUUAUUGGGCGUAAAGCGUCCGCAGGUGGUUUAUCAAGUCAGCUGUUAAAGCGUGGGGCUUAACUCCAUAAAGGCAGUUGAAACUGAUAGGCUAGAGUGCGAUAGGGGCAAGGGGAAUUCCCAGUGUAGCGGUGAAAUGCGUAGAUAUUGGGAAGAACACCGGUGGCGAAAGCGCCUUGCUGGGUCUGCACUGACACUGAGGGACGAAAGCUAGGGGAGCG